This is a non-coding RNA of Carica papaya (papaya), 2826 nucleotides long. The record is from RefSeq and is a predicted model, not a curated record. Lineage: Eukaryota; Viridiplantae; Streptophyta; Magnoliopsida; Brassicales; Caricaceae.
AGAAUGCUCCCCCUGAAUAUCAAUAGUGGGAUAAAAAGGUUGGUUCUCAAAGAAAAUGAUAUCAAAAAUCGUCGUGUAUCCGAAAAAAAAAAACAUUUAUAUCCUUUUUGAUUCAAUGAGUAUCCAACAAAGAUACACUUAAGGACACUUGGGUCAAAUUUCUCUAUCGAAGAUGGGAGUGGAUAUGAACGAAAGCAGAACACCCGAAAACUUUAAAUGGUAGUGAGUGUAAGAUAUGUGAAUCAGGAAAAUUUUGAGAGAGAAGAUCAUAGGGUAUUUGAAAUUAAAAAAACGAGAAGGCAUUCGGUUUAUCAGAUAAGUCGCAGUGAGUAUUGCCUCUCCUCAAAGAAACUCAGGAACAUGGGUAGUGAACAUAAUGGAUCUGGCGACUUCAAGAAUGUCUGUUUUUUCAUUCGGCUAUGCCAUUUUGGUGAGGGAUGUAUACAUAAGAAUUUUGGUGAAUAAUGCCAUGUUCCUCAAAGUAUUUCUCAAGGGUGGUUUCUAAAUAUUUAUAAGUAUUAUCAGUUUUAAGUACCUGUAUAGUGGUAUGAAACUGAGUUUGGAUCAUAGUAUUGAAUCUUUUGAAAAUGAUUCAUACUUCGAAUUUUUCUUUCAUUAGAAUGACUCAAGUUAUUAUAAUGUGAUCAUCAAUAAAGGAUACAAAUAACUUAUUUGCAGAUAUGUUGGUAACCUUGGAAGGUCCGCAAACAUCACUGUGAAUUAAUGCAAACGUUUUGGAAGGCUUGUAUGACAAACUUGUAAAAGAGUUUCGACUAUGUUUAGAGAUUUGACAUACUUCAUAUUGAAAUAAAAGUGGAUUUUUAUUUCUGAAUAACAAGAGAAACAUCUUUUGUAGAUAUAAAAAGUUUGGAUGACCUAAGCGAUAAUGCCAUAAUAUGAUAUUAUGAUCAUUAUUUGAUUGAUUCUCAGAACAGGGUUUGUACAUACUGCCGUUUGAGUUUGUCUUCUAGAAGGGUUUGUUUGAAGGAGAUACAAGCCUGAGUGCAUUCUAGCAUUGCCAAUCAUCCUCCUCAAUUUCAAGUCCUGAAAUUCACACAUUUUUUAACUAAAUUUAGCAACAUAGUUUUGAUCAACAAAAAGUUGCUAACCAAUAGUAAAUUGCAGUCCAAUUUUGGUACAUAAAAUACUGAAUGAAGGGUCAAUUGUGGUGUUAAAACAAUGGAACCAGCUCCAGCCAUUCUGGAGAUUGACCUGUCUGCAAUUUUAAUUGUGAAAUUCUCAUAUGAUGUUUUGUAAUUCUGAAAUAGGGAUACAUUGCCCGUCCUAUGGUCUGAUGCUCCAGAAUCAACCACCUAUUGUCAUGUUUUGAAGAACAUGCUGUCAAACCAAUUGCUGCUUUACCUUUUUGUGCCACCGAAGCAUGCACGGGCUGAGUAGCAUUUCUUGCGGACGUUGUCAAGUCUCCUGUAGUGAUCAAAGUACGGUCUUCCCUUCUUUCCACGGGAUUCAUACCGCGUGGUGAGUGCAGAGGCACUUUCAGCAGAGUAGGUAGGCUGAACUUCUCCCAUCAUCACCCGUCUCCUGCUCUCUUCUCUCCGGAUUUCUGCGAACACUUCUUGGAUGCUAGGUAGUGGUUUCAUUCCCAGCACCCAUCUAUGAACCUCAUCCAGACUUAAGAGUCCAAUCAAAAAAUUGAAGAUUCUUUUCUGCUCAACAAAGAGUCUGAACGUCUGAGCAUCAUUUGGACAACUCCAUUGAUGCUCCUCGAAGGUAUCCAGUUGCUGUCAGCUUCAGGUUAGUGAAUUAAAGUACUGGGUAAUAGAAAUCUCACCCUGACGCAGCUCAUGGAGAGUUGACUCCACCUCGAAGGUGGCAGAGAUAUUAUCUUUGCUGGAGUAUAAUUCGCGAGCCACUUCCCAGAUUUCCUUCAUUGUUUCAUAUAACAUGAAGUUCUCACCAAUGUCAGGCACCAUUGAGUUAAUGAGUCACGACAUUACCAUAUUAUUCUCUAUUUUUUAGACGUGGAAACUUGGGUUGCUGGUUGCGGGAGGGAUAGUUUUACCGGUGAGGUAAUCGUUGCGGCCCUUGCUGUGAGUAAACAGUAGAUGGAGAUUGACCAUUGAAGGUAGUUCUGUUCGUUCAGUUUGUGCCCCGUGAUGAACGAUGAUGCCUGCUCAACUAGGCUGUGGUAUGGAGUUGCGGGGAGGUAGGAACUCGAAGAGACUUCGGGAGGAGAGGAAUUGAGCUCGUUUGUGGCCAUUUGAAUUCUGACUCAGAUAAAGAAGCUCUCGGAUCAGAGCUCUGAUACCAUGAAGAGUUUGGUGAAUGGAGAUUUAAUGAAGAAAUUCUCCCUUUUUUCUUUUAUUAAUUUCAGGCGCCAAAAUGUGCUAUUUAUAGAAGAAAACCAAACAUCUUUUCAAAAAUGUGAGGAAGGGAGGAUAACAGAUUUCUGUUGUUACUAUGCCACCUCACCUUCUAGAAGAAUGACACUUCACCUACUAGGAUUAUUCUACUUUGUAUAAUAGAAUGGAGAAUUACAGCAUUUUCUACAGAGCUUAAUUGAAAUUAGUUGAAAAGUUUGAAGUUUUUGAAGUUUUCUGCGUCCAUUUUGAAUCUUUGAGGGUGAAUUGAAAUUUUAAUGAAAACUCAGAUGUUCUGUUUUUGGUGCCAUUUUCUCCUCCAUUAAUAUGCAUUUUACAUGUAAAAUUUGUUUCCUGUUCCAUCUAGUGUAACUUAGGAAUGAAAAUAAACAAUAAGUUUAAUUACUCCUUUUUAAUAGUUAAGAUUGACUUGUUGUACAUACACGAGUGUGCACGUAUACACAGAAGGAAGAUUUAAUCAUAUUAAAAAACGGGGAAAGGCAAA